ACGUAUAGAUUGAAAGAUUGAGUCUUGAAUUAGGUUGCUUAGUGGUUUGAUUUAGCCCAUACCAGUUAGACCGGUCAUAUGAUGACUGAUUAGAUGAGAUCUAAACUUAAAUCUUUUCAUAAAUAUUAAGUCCAUAGGUCUUCCAUUAUUGUAGAUGUGCGGGUAUGCUACCGGCAUUGAUUAUUCUCGAUUGGUUACAGUAGUUUAGUUGUAUUGGAAAUAUGCAAUCACUCUAUUAGCAAAGAGUUACUCCAG
Molecule: long non-coding RNA, 255 nt
Filed under: Elaeis guineensis (African oil palm)
Lineage: Eukaryota; Viridiplantae; Streptophyta; Magnoliopsida; Arecales; Arecaceae
Description: long non-coding RNA (EGUI_LNC075829)
Source: RNAcentral